UACAGAGGUCCCGAGCGUUGUUCGGAUUCAUUGGGCGUAAAGGGUGCGUAGGUGGCGCCGUAAGUCGGGUGUGAAAUUUCGGAGCUUAACUCCGAAACUGCAUUCGAUACUGCGGUGCUUGAGGACUGGAGAGGAGACUGGAAUUCAUGGUGUAGCAGUGAAAUGCGUAGAGAUCAUGAGGAAGACCAGUGGCGAAGGCGGGUCUCUGGACAGUUCCUGACGCUGAGGCACGAAGGCCAGGGGAGCAAACGGG
RNAcentral lists this ribosomal RNA (253 nucleotides) under uncultured bacterium. RNAcentral describes it as "partial 16S ribosomal RNA". It matches the Rfam family "Bacterial small subunit ribosomal RNA", at positions 524 to 776 of the family's 1533-position model. The record is from RNAcentral.